Molecule: long non-coding RNA, 604 nt
Organism: Nerophis ophidion (straightnose pipefish)
Lineage: Eukaryota; Metazoa; Chordata; Actinopteri; Syngnathiformes; Syngnathidae
Exons: 3
Source: RefSeq, a predicted model, not a curated record
AGUCAUAGUAAUUUACGCAGAAAGACACAAAAAAAUAAAUGAUUCAUUCAUUGUGUCGCUUUAUUCAAGGAAACGCCUCAUUUGAGAAAGAUGUGACUCGGGAUUAGUGAGCGGAUGAGACGAACGUGAAGUCACUUUUGAUACGGAUGGAAAAUUAUGUGCUGUCACUUUGAUUGUGGAGGAGGGGCGUGGCCUGCGGACCUUCAGCGAAAUGAGGUGUACCAGGACCGGUUUCCAGAUCAGCGACAGAUUAUAAGAGAGGCGAAGGGGGCACGAUCGGGGGAGAGGGAGGAGGAAACCACGGCACCCCGACCACGAGCACGACGAUCGAUCCAGCCCGAGAUGACAAACCCCCGCAGCGGAUGCAAGCACCGGAUGCCGAAAGGCGUACAACGGCGACAAGCAGGCAGGACGCGCGCACUACAAAUGGGCGCGCCCGACUGGCCAGAAGACAGAUUUAAUGAGGAAAUAAAUGUGAAUCAAACCUGCUAUGAUAAGUCAUGUGUCAAGUGUCCCCGCAACACACACGAGGACGGCUGGGAGUCUGUCACACCCUUAUCUGCUUACUGUGUUACUAGUGUUUUAGUGAGAUUAUAAAGUCAUA